This 2557-nucleotide long non-coding RNA is filed under the name Exaiptasia diaphana. RNAcentral describes it as "uncharacterized LOC114574904". Lineage: Eukaryota; Metazoa; Cnidaria; Anthozoa; Actiniaria; Aiptasiidae. The record is from RNAcentral.
UUUUCUUCUGUUUCAACAGGCUAAUCAAGAGAUCCCAAACUGGCUAGAAGAUAUUGCAGAAGAAGCCAUUGGUACAGACUAUGGUCCAGCUGGAGGACGGUUUGGUGCAAGAGAUACCAGAAGAGAGUAUGGGAGCAAGCGUGGUGGCGGUGGUGACAGCAUGUCUAAUGGAUUCUCAACAGAUCCAAUCUCAGCUGGUAUCCCUGAUGGAGAUGAUGAUUGGGACUAGGCACUAAACAACAUCCCAAUAGUGCAUCGCUGGCUUGGUUGUGUCAAUUUUCAGGCCAGCAUUUUAUUGUAUACAAGUUAAUUAGUUAAAGUUCAUAUAUUUUGGCAAAUAAGAGAUUUUUCUAGAUUUAAUGGCCAGUUGAUUAUCGUGUGAAUACGUAAAACAAUAAUGCAAGUUUAUUGAAAACAGCGCCCUUUGGCAAGUCACUGAUUGGCUGGAAUUAUGCACCCUGGAUGAUUGUUGUAACUUAACUGCAAGCGAGGCUGGUCUCAGCGCAGUUUACAUGCAGAAAUAUGCUGGCUUAACAAAUGGCUGAAUUACUUUUGAGCAGGACUGGGAACUAUUCAAAUACCCAAGAGUACUUUGCUGGCAUAACAAAUGGCUGAAUUACUUUUGAGCAGGACUGGGAACUAUUCAAAUACCCAAGAGUACUUUGCUGGCAUAACAAAUGGCUGAAUUACUUUUGAGCAGGACUGGGAACUAUUCAAAUACCCAAGAGUACUUUGCUGGCAUAACAAAUGACUGAAUUACUUUUGAGCAGGACUGGGAACUAUACAAUUACCCAACAGUAAUGUUACUUUGCUGGCCUAACAAAUGGCUGAAUUACUUUUGAGCAGGACUGGGAACUAUAUAAUUACUCAUCAGUACUUUGCUGGCCUAACAAAUGGCUGAUUAACUACCUAUUUUGACUGGGGNCAACGCAAUUCCCCAGCUAGUAGUACUUUGCUAGCUACAAAAUGGCUGGCAAAAUAGUGAGCAAAUAACGUGAUGACAAGAAACUUAAAGGAACUACAUUUAUAUCUUAAUGGAGAUGUUACCAUUUCCUAGUCUGGGAAAGCUUUCAUGAUGCCUAAAGUUUGGCAAAUGCAAAUACGUAGAAAACAAGUCUACAAUGAUAUNAUAUUAUUCUAUUAAAGCUCAUUCAUGAAUAUGAUAUUGAGAUGGAGAGAAAAUCUGGACGCCUAUUUGCUUGCAGUGCAUUGUUGGUAUGAUUAACAAGCUUCACAAGUUUGUUUAAAUAUAACUGAAAUCUUCCGCUUGGCUGGUCAAAUGUGAAAGUAUGCGACAUAAAGUGGAAUAAUGGUGAUCAGCUUAUGNCUAAAAAGAAUGAGUUACAUGAUUAAUUUCAAUAAGACUGGUCAGAGAACAAUAUUCCAUGUGGAGUUGGCGACAAAGACUCAGUUACACACACUACUGAUGUGGAAUUGCUGACUAAGGCUCAGUUAUAUUUGCUGGUGAUGUGCUAAAGCAAAACAAAAUGGUGCACAUGGCUUUGUGAUUUUUUCAGAACAAGACAGUUAAACCUAUCUGUUGCNUCCUUCAUACAAGGACUAGUAAUCUCAACCAGCCUCAACUUAUUUGCUAUUGAUGCAUUAUAGCAUGUUUGGGCUGGUUUAAGGUAACCAUAAUGGAACAACGUAGAUGAUAUACAACAGAUAUGUAUAUUGUGGACAAGCUGUAGUUUUAACUUGGAAAGUUAGNAUAGCUGUUGGCUGAAAAUUGGGUAUUAAUUCCAUAAAUGCAAGGAACUCUGUGUAAAANUGAAAUGCCUUCUGGUCAUCAUUGCUUUAAACUCUAAUAAGCGACAAUUUCAAGUUUUCAAUCUUGGAAGCUAUCUUUGAAGUGAAAGGAUUUAGAACAAAUCAUUCCUAAAGUAUUCGUGGAGUUAAACUACAGUUUAUGGCAGUACAUUCAAGUACUGCAAGGUAUUCAGGAAAUACUGGAUGCUACAAAUGUUAGGCCAAUAGCACACCCUAACAGUUUAAAGUAUGCAAAGGUAUUCAGAAAAGUUUAACUACAUUUGCUGAUAAGGUGGUUAAUCUGCCUAGAAACAUUGCAAAUACUACUAGGUUGGGAAGCUGUUUUGCCAACAAAGAACUUGCAGGAGUUACGAUAAAGAAGUAUGUUUGUAUCUGGAUGCAAGAUCCUGCAGGUUGAUUCCAGAACAAUCUAAUUUAGACAGUGACAAUUCAUGUCAACAUACCAGGGGACAAGUUUGACAUUUGCAGUUAAUUUUCAUUUUCAACCAAGGCUAGAGAUGAAGUUAGAACAGUUCUGUUCAUACAUUGUUUGUGAAGAAAACUAUUCUAGAUUUAUCCGACAACCCAAGUUCUGUUUUCUUAAGUGUUUUUUUUUCAUUUGAUAGGUCAACACUACUUUUGGUUGCCUUUGAAACAGCUUGGAGAACUUUGCUUGGGUUGCCUGUGUGAAAGGCCUAGAAACUAUUGCAUGGGUCACCCUGUAAAGGUUUAAAGGGCUUUGAUAUUUGAAGGCCUGUAGUUNAAUGCUUCAUUUUAUGAAAUAAAUGUUCUUUUAAAUAUUCCACAA